Molecule: small RNA, 1441 nt
Filed under: Pan troglodytes (chimpanzee)
Lineage: Eukaryota; Metazoa; Chordata; Mammalia; Primates; Hominidae
Description: processed transcript
Source: RNAcentral
GGCGUAAUGGGCAAAGAUGAGCGUGAAGGCAACAGCCCAUCCUUCUUCAACCCUGAAGAGGCUGCCACAGUGACUUCUUACCUGAAGCUGCUCCUGGCCCCCUCCUCCAAGAAGGGCAAAGCCCGCCUGAGCCCUCGAAGCGUGGGCGUCAUCUCCCCGUACCGGAAACAGGUGGAGAAAAUCCGUUACUGCAUCACCAAACUUGACAGGGAGCUUCGAGGACUGGAUGACAUUAAGGACUUGAAGAACACUUUGCAGGCCCCAGCCCUCAGCAGGAUUCACCCUUCAGGUUUCAGCUUCCAGAGCCUACCUCCCAUCCCCUUUCCCUGGGCCGUGUCGCAGCACUGGUUCACUCUCUGAUCUACAAUUGCCCAGUGACCUCUCUGUACCCUCCUUGGAAGGCAAGCUCCCUGGGGUAGGGCACCCCUUUGACACCCCUGGCUGGUCUCAGGCCCUGCCUCUUUCCCCACUAGGUGGGUUCAGUGGAAGAAUUCCAAGGCCAAGAACGAAGCGUCAUCCUCAUCUCCACCGUGCGAAGCAGCCAGAGCUUUGUGCAGCUGGAUCUGGACUUUAAUCUGGGUUUCCUUAAGAACCCCAAGAGGUUCAAUGUAGCUGUGACCCGGGCCAAGGCCCUGCUCAUCAUCGUGGGGAACCCCCUUCUCCUGGGCCAUGACCCUGACUGGAAAGUGUGAGCAUUCCCACCCCAUUCUCCCUCUUAGUGGCCACAGCCCCUGCCUAGGGCAGGUGGAUCUUUUUUAAGCACUUAUCGCUCAGUUAAUCCUCAGAUGUGUCCAUUUUCACAGCAUCCCUAUUGUAUUUAUAAGUUAAAUGACAUCCAGAGGUUGAGCAAGUACAGCUCAGAUGGGACAGGACCGUGGCUUAGCCUCCAGUCUCUGCUGGCACUCCUCUGUACCCCACAGAUUCCUGGAGUUCUGUAAAGAAAACGGAGGGUAUACCGGGUGUCCCUUCCCUGCCAAACUGGACCUGCAACAGGGACAGAAUUUACUGCAAGGUCUGAGCAAGCUCAGCCCCUCUACCUCAGGUAUGGCUGGGCCAGGGUGGGGACAGUGCCAGAGGAGGUGGUAAGGAAGACACAGUGUACUUUCUUUCUUUCCAGGGCCCCAUAGUCAUGACUACCUCCCCCAGGAGCGGGAGGGUGAAGGGGGCCUGUCUCUGCAAGUGGAGCCAGAGUGGAGGAAUGAGCUCUGAAGACACAGCACCCAGCCUUCUCGCACCAGCCAAGCCUUAACUGCCUGCCUGACCCUGAACCAGAACCCAGCUGAACUGCCCCUCCAAGGGACAGGAAGGCUGGGGGAGGGAGUUUACAACCCAAGCCAUUCCACCCCCUCCCCUGCUGGGGAGAAUGACACAUCAAGCUGCUAACAAUUGGGGGAAGGGGAAGGAAGAAAACUCUGAAAACAAAAUCUUGUUCUAUGCAAAA